GGUGAGCUUUUUUCAUAUUAUUUCUGACAUUUUCACUCCCUUCCAUUGCUCCAUUCACACCGAGGAGGUGUCGGGCUUUGCGCUUACCUGCCCGGUGACGGCGGGAUAACGCAGGUGUAAAGACGAACAGCGAGGACUUCCCACUGUGAUCUGGUGUGUGGGUGUUUUUCUGAUGUCGCUGGAUCCACGCACAGUAAACAUCGGCGGUCACAGCAGAUCGCGCAGGGGCGCUCGGUUUCUGUAAUUGAAUUAUUGUUGCGGUGACAGAAGAGCGGCUCCUUCACAAACGACUGAAGGGCCUAAAAAUAACAGGUCCGUCAUGCUGAUGAUGAUGCGGUGGAACGGGGGGAUUUUUACAUAACAAACAGUGUUUGUGCGCAGAAAUCUGUAAUCCGACAGGAGCUGUGCAGCUUUUAAGGACAGGCUUUUAGUUUCAAGGCUUUCCAGGAGUCCUUGAAGCCUCUUCAAGGGUUAAUUUGAAUGGGUUUAAGCUGUCAGGGCUCUGCACUGUAAGAGUGUAGGUCUACAGAUGAAAUAUGACUUUAAGCACUUUCCUGCUUUUCUCUGCCACAUUUCGUGAACAUUGGAAAUGAUGCGAGCUUCAGAUGUAGCAAAAAACGCCUUUGAGUAAUGAGGUUAUCACCCUCAAGCGCACUUGUGAUGUUACUGAUGUAUUGUUUGAUUGUGAGGUGAGGAAAGUGCUCUUUGAGUCACGUUCAUUAACACCAAGACCGUCAGAUGUGGACUUGUGAUGGGGGACGUACUUUUCAGUCAGUUUUAUUUAUAUAUUGCAUUCAUAUUUAUUUUUAUGUGAGAGUAUUUAUGCUAAGGUUUUUUGCAGUCCGGCAGUAAUGCCAUAAUUUCUUUAUGCUUGCGUGAACGAGGAGUCUUGACUCUUGAGGGACUGAGGAGGCAGGAUGAAGGAAAACCAGUGUAUGAGUUGUUCUGAGUUAUUUUCUGCUUUCCUUUGUUUUUAUGCUGCUUGUUGAAUGAUAAAAGAAGCAAUCUGAAGGCGUAGCUGGGCCGAUUUCCACAUUCUUCAACAUUAAUCAACUAAAAAUCAUAGCAAAAUGAGAGAAAGUAUGAGUCAAAACAUGUUAAUUGUAAAAACCUGAAGGAAGGAUCUGGACUGUGGUGGAUGAGCUAAUAUGAAAGUUCCUGUCAGAUCUGGCUGAUUGAGCGGUUAAAUGAACCUGUAAUAUCAGACCAAAGCGGUUUUACUGCCAUAAUAUUAGUGCGUGGCUAAUUUCUGGCAGAUUUUAUGACCUUUAGUAUCUUACAUCUGACUCACUGAACAGGAAACACUUUAUGGAUAAAAUCAUUUCCACAAAGAGAUCUGAGAUCAUCAGCAAGGAUCUCCAGUGCUAAUUUAGCUUUGAACUUUCACCACAUUUCAGUCUCGAUCUGCAGCUCCCUUAGCCGCGGCACACACGAUUAGACCAGUAAAAAAUAUAGAGCGAUACAACAUACAUGCAAAACACGACACACUGUAAAACCUGCAUCUAGAAACCAGGCAGCACUUCUGACGGUGCUUUUAAGCGUGAAAUGAUCCUGCUUUCCGUGUUUUUCUCUAUUAAUUUAUGUCUCAGUUAAGUGAAGCACACAUGAUAUUCCUGUUUCCCUCCUGCACUGAGAUGCGUUCGUGUGUCUCAAAUAAAUAUUGGUGCACACGGGAGCAGCAGCUGCAGGGUGGCAUGCUUGCUGCAUCCCUGCCAUCGGCUCAGUAAUGCAGCAUCAGCACUUCCACAGAGUGCUGCUGUGCAUUGUGUACACAGAGGCCAGGUUUCUGUUUCUUUGUUUGUUGUUUCAUCACUGAUGGGGUUUUUUCUUUCUUUCUUUUUUUGUUGUUGUCUCAAAACAUAAGUGAGGAAUAAUUUCCUACCGCGUGGUCAGCUGAAAAGACGGAUUUUGGAGCCUGACCCCAAACACAGGUUUAAUCACAUGCUAUCUUAUGAUAUCUGAGAUGGAGCUCACAUGUUGACUCUAACUUGUGGUUAAAAACUGGAGUCAGUUCUUAAUUAAAAGCGGUAAUAAUCAUACCCUGACAUUAAGUGUUAUAUCCUCCAUCUGCCUGCUCGUUUCUCACGUUCACACUGGAGCAAAAAGAGCAAAGUUCAGGCUUUCACAGGAGGACUCUUCUUCACGGCUACUCAUCCACCACGCUCUCAGAUGUGGCUUAGCACCAGCUUCUACAAACUACUGUUGAUAACUUCCAUAACUCACGCUUUUGUUUCCCCCCUUAUCUUUACUGUCUGCGUCAUGUUGUACGAGACCGCGAGGCUCCCUCAAGGUUGCAGUCCCCUUCUCACCUGUGCUCACGCCAGCUGCUUCCUCUGUUUGUGCCAAACAGCUCGAUGUUGUGGCUGCAAACAUGGGGGGAAAAAACAUCAGGUCCUGUGCGCCAGAAAAUAUUUCCAAGAAAGAGCGAGCUAAACAAGAGCAAAUGCUACUCUAAUAUGAGAUAAAGAAGGUGAAAUGUGUACACACAGGCGUGGCCACCCUGAGUUACGGUGAAAUCAUUUCACCUCAGUCAUGAAGGGGAGGUGUAGGUGAUGGGGGAGGACAGUCCAGCUCCAGGAACUAUUUUCUCUGUGAAAUUAUUCUGCUUUUGUCUUAUUCUCACUGUGCAGCUGCAUUUUUUUGUUGCACCUGCAGUGUGGAGUCACCUGUAGCAUCUGCCAGUCAUAUCACCAGUCCUCAGCACCCAGACUGCACCGGCGCAGCCUGAAGUCGGCAGGAAAUCUGACAUUUAAGCCUCUCCAGAACGAUUCUGAUCGAGUCUGCGUUGGUGCUUCACAUCUUCAAACGCAAAGUUUGCCAAACCGAGCGAAGCCUGGCUGUCGUUUCAGGGCUUUGUAGCGAGACAGGAAGGCCUGAUGAGGCUGGUUUUAUUUUAUCACUCUGUUGUCACGGCAGCCUUGUUGCCUCCAGGCUUUUUCUAACUUCACAAACAUUACAGCACAAGUUCUAAUAUCACACAGAUCCAUGAUGACUAAGAUGCAGACCUCCCACACAGGUUGUGGUCACAGAAGAUGGAGAUGAUGUGAAUGUGUGUGUGUGUGUGUGUGUGUGUGUGUGUGUGUGUGUGUGUGUGUGUGUGUGUUUUCAGUGUGUUUCUGGAGACGUCGUCUACCUUUCCCCUCAGUGACGGGGCUCAUUAAGGCUUCGUUUGUGAAGUCAGUGGCGUGUUGUUUCUUUUCACUUCUGCAUUUGUGUCUGAGACUUUUGCACAGUGUUUCUAUUAAAGUCCAAACGGGCCGAGACGCACGGGCUGCUGAUUUAAAAUCACACACACUCGGGUCGUGGAUGGUGAUUUUGUUUUGUUUUUUUUGUUUUUUUAAAUAAAAUGUUAAUUUCAUGUACAGCAAAGUGCUUGGAAACCAAAUGUUCUCUUAAAGUGUUUCUGCUGUGUUCAUUCAAUGCUGAUGGAGGAAAAACUAUUUAAUAUUUAAUCGCUUUCAAUCUACAGUUAUGAGUCGAUUGGUUUACUAAAUGAAAUCAAUAUAUUUAGUAAAUCACUGGAGAUUUAUGUAGGCACUUUUUAAAAAAAAAAAUCAAUUUAAAAAAAAUAAAAUAAAAAGAUUUUAGGUGCAAAUCUCUGAGAUGACCCGGAUGCCUUUGAGGAUCAUCUUCAUGUCCUUACUGGGUUCCUCGAGUGACUGACGCCUUCAGACCUUGAAUGUAUUUAAUGUUUUUGUUUUGUGCAGACAGAUCUGAACUAAUAUAUAUAUAUAUAUAAAAAUAUGUGUAUAUAAAUUGUAAUAUUUACAAAAUGAUUAUUUCUAUAUUGUGUUAUUGCACAGAACUAUAUGAUUAAUAAAUGUUGAGGUGUUUCUUUAUUUGCACGUCUCCGUCUCAUUUGUUGUUGCUGUUGUAAACACAGCUGAUAUUUUGUGCAGCAUUUGUCUUUAGCUGCUAGUUUUUACAUAAGUCUGAAAGUUUUCACACAACUGUUUGAGAUGCUCUGCUAAAAACAGCAGGAACUCUUUAAGGGGUUGCAGGGUUUUAAAUUCCUGGUGGUGAACCUUUUUUCUUCUUGCUGAACAGUUUUUCCUGGCUGGAUGAACCUUUUACCCCCUACAUGCUGCAGGUUAGCCCACAACAACUGCUGUCAGCAGUAAAGUUGAUGAUUGUGUUCCCAGAAAGUGACUGAGAAACAGUGUAACUCAAGCACGGUGAAGAAACAGCACAGCGAGUUGUACUGUUUGAAGUUGUGAAAAAAAAAAUGACACGAAAUCUGGUCUUUCCCUUUUAGGAGACUGCAGGUUAGCUGGCAUGAGAACUUUGCCCAUGAUGCAACACAACAAUCAGACAUCUGAUGUCACGUCGCACAGUCAAAUCAGGUCAAUUUGUUUACAAGGAUGGUUAAAAGAAAAAGCUAGACAUUGAUCAUGCACAGCUAAUAAAACAAUAAAUGCAUUAAAACAUAAAAGUACUAUGACCUAAAAAGUAAACAAUACAAAACAAAGCAGUCUAGUUUAACCUGUUUUCUAGGCUUCCUGCUCGAAAAUGACAUCCCCAAAAUGAAUGGAGUAUUUCUCUGCAAUCACAAACUGUGUAAACAAUCUUGGUAUCAAAAUAAAGCUUACACUUGUUCAUCAGAGGUGUAAAAAUUGCAGCAGAUGUUACUGUGUCAAAGUUACUCAGGCUGGAACACAGAAAAAGGUUUUAGUAGAAAACCCUUUUAAAAAUAUGCUUUAGAUCUCAUUUUAAUCCAGAAAUUCAGUAAUCAACAUAUAAACAUCAUCUGUGCAAAGAUUUGUGCUUCUAAAGUAAAACAGUGAAAAAUUGCAGCACAUUUAAUAAAUAAAUAUUCAGACAUUGUACAACAAGUCCAAUCCUGACACACUCUGGACACCAUAUAUGAGUAAAAGUUUUAGGUAUUAAACAGCAGAGAUUAUUUAAUUUCAUUAACAUGCCUAAAAAUGCUUGUUUUUUGAAUAUUUUUGAAGAAUGAACUACACAUUCACAGACUCUUAAUUGGGACACAGCCAAUGGGCCCUUUCUGAGGGGUUGCCGCUUCCGGCUUCUUUUGGCCUCUUUUAGCGGAUUUGCAUGAUUGACACUUCUUUUUAACUGUUUGAGCCAAUAGAACCGUGGUAACGAUGCCACUUCAUCUAAUCAGAAGUUGCAAAGCCAGACCCCACCUGGGCCCAAUUUAUGUCUGUAGCUAGGUCUAAAAUGACGGAAGUGGCUCUGAUGCGCUAGUUAGCCGCGCUAGCUGCUGAUAACCAGGGUGCUAUCGGCUACCUGCGAAAAUAACGGAGGAAACUGGGAGUGUUUAGGGCCACCUGCUGACGACUUGAAAGCCACCUGUAACAGACGAAACACACCUGUGGGAUGAAGUCAGAGAAGCUCGAGGUCCUUCUGUGGGUAAUGAUCAUAAGAAGCUCAGGUAAUCAGGAUUUACCUCUGCACACAGAUCACACUACAGCUUCUGCUUUUGCUUCAUCAGCUUUAUUUAGCUCAAGAAUACAUACAGGAUAAAGAGUAAAAAGAAAAGAAAACAGUAUGCAACCCCUCUCCCUCUGUGUAAAUCAUCAGGGGGACAUAAUGAACAAAUCCUGCGUGACGGUAACAGGCCAAACAAUGUUUUUCAGUGGGUGAGAAAAAGGCACAGACAGCUCUAGAAGAGGUAACACGUUUGAGAUAAAAUGGCAGUUUCACAGGGGGCACACAGACAGUUCGUAGUUUGCAGAUAACGUGUGGAAAAGUAAAAAUGAUUGUGGCCAAAUGAAAACAAUCCUCAACAUCAAAAUCACAAUAUUUCAUCAAACACUGCAACUGAAGGAUGCAAGCCUACUUUCAACUCAUUUAAUUUGAGGUAAAAUUUGUUAGAAGUCAUAAAAUUUGAUCUUAAGGACAAAAAAAACCAAACUAAAACUAAAUUCUAGUGUUUCAUCACAUUUCUACCA
This is a long non-coding RNA of Haplochromis burtoni (Burton's mouthbrooder), 5915 nucleotides long. RefSeq lists it as uncharacterized. The record is from RefSeq and is a predicted model, not a curated record. The transcript is spliced from 4 exons. NCBI's taxonomy places the organism in Eukaryota, Metazoa, Chordata, Actinopteri, Cichliformes, Cichlidae.